RNAcentral lists this ribosomal RNA (463 nucleotides) under uncultured bacterium. RNAcentral describes it as "partial 16S ribosomal RNA". It matches the Rfam family "Bacterial small subunit ribosomal RNA", at positions 28 to 507 of the family's 1533-position model. The record is from RNAcentral.
GAUGAACGCUGACAGAAUGCUUAACACAUGCAAGUCUUUGGCGAAUCUGUGCUUGCACAGGCUAGCCAAGGCGGACGGGUGAGUAACGCGUAAAGAACUUGCCCUGCAGACAGGGAUAACAGACGGAAACGACUGAUAACACCUGAUACAGUUGCCGGCACGCAUGUGCCUGGCAAUGAAAAGAGAUGCUGCAGGAGAGCUUUGCGUCCUAUUAGCUUGUUGGUGAGGUGACGGCUCACCAAGGCGAUGAUAGGUAGCCGGCCUGAGGGGGUGAACGGCCACAAGGGGACUGAGAUACGGCCCUUACUCCUACGGGAGGCAGCAGUGGGGAAUAUUGGACAGUGGGGGCAACCCUGAUCGAGCAAUUCUGUGUGCAAGAAGAAGGUUUUCGGAUUGUAAAGUGCUUUCAGCAGAGAAGAAGAAAGUGACGGUACCUGCAGAAGAAGCGACGGCUAAAUACGUG